Molecule: ribosomal RNA, 166 nt
Filed under: Callionymus kaianus
Lineage: Eukaryota; Metazoa; Chordata; Actinopteri; Syngnathiformes; Callionymidae
Description: partial 12S rRNA
Source: RNAcentral
CACCGCGGUUAUACGAGAGGCCCAAAUUAAUUAACACGGCGUAAAGGGUGGUUAAAAAAAUAAUUUACUAGGGUCGAACAAGUCCCAAACUGUUAUACGUUAUGGACUAAGGAAUACCAUUAAACGAAAGUAACCCUAAAUAUUUGAACCCACGAAAGUUAGGGAA